RNAcentral lists this ribosomal RNA (878 nucleotides) under uncultured bacterium. RNAcentral's name for it is "bacterial SSU rRNA". It matches the Rfam family "Bacterial small subunit ribosomal RNA", at positions 30 to 863 of the family's 1533-position model. The record is from RNAcentral.
UGAACGCUGGCGGCGUGCCUAACACAUGCAAGUCGAACGAGAAGUUAACCACUGAUUCCUUCGGGAUGAGGAGGUUAGCGGAAAGUGGCGAACGGGUGAGUAACGCGUGGGUAAUCUACCCUGUAAGUGGGGGAUAACCCUCCGAAAGGAGGGCUAAUACCGCAUAAUAUCUUCACUUCUAAAAGAAGAGAAGAUUAAAGAUGGCCUCUGUCUUAAGCUAUCACUUCAGGAUGAGCCUGCGUCCUAUUAGUUAGUUGGUGGGGUAAUGGCCUACCAAGACCACAAUGGGUAGCCGGUCUGAGAGGAUGUACGGCCACACUGGGACUGAGAUACGGCCCAGACUCCUACGGGAGGCAGCAGUGGGGAAUAUUGCGCAAUGGGGGAAACCCUGACGCAGCGACGCCGCGUGGAUGAUGAAGGCCUUUGGGUUGUAAAAUCCUGUUUUGGGGGAAGAAACCUUAAGGGUCCAAUAAACCCUUGAAUUGACGGUACCCCAAGAGAAAGCUCCGGCUAAUUAUGUGCCAGCAGCCGCGGUAAUACAUAAGGAGCAAGCGUUAUCCGGAAUUAUUGGGCGUAAAGAGCUCGUAGGCGGUCUUAAAAGUCAGGUGUGAAAUCAUCAGGCUCAACCUGAUAAGGUCAUCUGAAACUUUAAGACUUGAGGAUAGAAGAGGAAAGUGGAAUUCCCGGUGUAGCGGUGAAAUGCGUAGAUAUCGGGAGGAAUACCAGUGGCGAAGGCGGCUUUCUGGUCUAUUUCUGACGCUGAGGAGCGAAAGCUAGGGGAGCAAACGGGAUUAGAUACCCCGGUAGUCCUAGCUGUAAACGAUGGAUACUAGGUGUGGGAGGUAUCGACCCCUUCUGUGCCGUAGCUAACGCAUUAA